Long non-coding RNA from Arabidopsis thaliana (thale cress), 421 nucleotides. RefSeq annotates it as other RNA. Lineage: Eukaryota; Viridiplantae; Streptophyta; Magnoliopsida; Brassicales; Brassicaceae. The transcript has 2 exons. The record is from RefSeq.
GCCAACCAUUCUCUGGGGGUUUGUCUCUGCGAAUUUAUUAAUGCAUACAUUUUUCGAUUACCCCUGAAUAAAAUUUAAAAUCUGGAUGAUGAGCAUCAAUUCUAACUGUUACAGGUUGGCUUGCAACAGCCUUGAGAAGGGCUGCCUCGUUGAAUGGAUCUACAAAUGCGAAUUGAUCGAUGGUUACCCUCACGCCUUGUGCCUUUGAAGGGUCGCAUUCUCAUUUGAUAGCUGUGGGCGAGCCACCAUCACGUUUCUAUGAAACUCAAGCCAAAAGAAAAUAGAUUCUAAGUCUUCCGAAAUAACAUGAAAAAUGACCUAAUAAAACUUAGAAUCUAUUUUCUUUUGUUUCGAACUUCAUAGGAACGUGAUGGUGGCUCGUCCACCUGUUGUAUAGCUUUAAUAAACUCUCCUCACUCUC